This 460-nucleotide long non-coding RNA is filed under the name Papio anubis (olive baboon). RNAcentral describes it as "lncRNA (ENSPANG00000039477.1)". Lineage: Eukaryota; Metazoa; Chordata; Mammalia; Primates; Cercopithecidae. The record is from RNAcentral.
CUAACUUCUGUGCCCCAGCAUAACCUCCAAAGUAACAGCCGUGCCCUGGGAGCCUGUUCAACACUGAACAUAUCCCACAAUAACACAGUUCCAGCGUCGCUGGUAAAAAGCAGAAAUGGCUUCGGGGAGAAGGCAACAAAUCAAGACUCUAACCAGCUUAGGCAAAAGGAAGAACUUAUAUAAAGUAUACGGGGACGAGUUGAACAACCUACUCUACAGAUAAGAAUCCAGCUAGCCUAGGGACCAGCAAUAUUAGAUCCUCUGCUUGCUUCUUUUUUCUGUAGACCAACUUUUCCAAGGGAACACAGCUGCCUAGCACACCCAAGGUUUUCACUUUAUGGCUUCAAGAAUGAGAGACCAACUUGCUUUCUAUAUUUUUUCCUAUCCAAGACCCAAAUUCCUGGGGAUGGGACUCACUGGCUCUGAUAAGCUGGAGGCAUCAAUAAAUCUAAUGCAGUGA